Molecule: ribosomal RNA, 253 nt
Filed under: uncultured bacterium
Lineage: Bacteria
Description: partial 16S ribosomal RNA
Rfam family: Bacterial small subunit ribosomal RNA
Source: RNAcentral
GACGGAGGGUGCAACCGUUGUUCGGAUUUACUGGGCGUAAAGCGCGUGUAGGCGGCUUGGCAAGUCGGAUGUGAAAGCCCACGGCUCAACCGUGGAAGCGCAUCCGAAACUGCUUCGCUCGAGUCUCGGAGAGGAAGGUGGAAUGCUUGGUGUAGAGGUGAAAUUCGUAGAUAUCAAGCAGAACACCUGCGGCGAAGGCGGCCUUCUGGACGAUGACUGACGCUGAGACGCGAAAGCCAGGGGAGCAAACGGG